CCUACGGGGUGCAGCAGUGGGGAAUAUUGGGCAAUGGAGGAAACUCUGACCCAGCAAUGCCGCGUGAAUGAAGAAGGUCUUCGGAUUGUAAAGUUCUUUAGUCAGGGAAGAAUAAAAUGACGGUACCUGAAGAAUAAGCUCCGGCUAACUACGUGCCAGCAGCCGCGGUAAUACGUAGGGAGCAAGCGUUGUUCGGAAUGACUGGGCGUAAAGGGUGCGUAGGCGGUUAUACAAGUUAGAAGUGAAAUACCCAGGGCUUAACUCGGGUGCUGCUUCUAAAACUGUAAGACUUGAGUGCAGUAGAGGUUAGUGGAAUUACUAGUGUAGCGGUGAGAUGCGUAGAUAUCAGGAGGAACACCGGCGGCGAAGGCGGCCUGCUGGACUGAAACUGACGUUGAGGCUCGAAAGCGUGGGGAGCAAACAGGAUUAGAUACCCGAGUAGUC
RNAcentral lists this ribosomal RNA (444 nucleotides) under uncultured bacterium. RNAcentral's name for it is "partial 16S ribosomal RNA". It matches the Rfam family "Bacterial small subunit ribosomal RNA", at positions 338 to 795 of the family's 1533-position model. The record is from RNAcentral.